This 498-nucleotide ribosomal RNA is filed under the name uncultured bacterium. RNAcentral describes it as "partial 16S ribosomal RNA". It matches the Rfam family "Bacterial small subunit ribosomal RNA", at positions 28 to 507 of the family's 1533-position model. The record is from RNAcentral.
GACGAACGCUGGCGGCGUGCCUAAUACAUGCAAGUCGAGCGGACGAAUCGAAAGCUUGCUUUUGAUUCGUUAGCGGCGGACGGGUGAGUAACACGUGGGCAACCUGCCCUGUAGACGGGGAUAACACCGAGAAAUCGGUGCUAAUACCGGAUAACACGAAAUGUCGCAUGACGUUUCGUUGAAAGACGGCGCAAGCUGUCGCUACAGGAUGGGCCCGCGGCGCAUUAGCUAGUUGGUGAGGUAACGGCUCACCAAGGCGACGAUGCGUAGCCGACCUGAGAGGGUGAUCGGCCACACUGGGACUGAGACACGGCCCAGACUCCUACGGGAGGCAGCAGUAAGGAAUCUUCCGCAAUGGACGAAAGUCUGACGGAGCAACGCCGCGUGGGCGAAGAAGGCCUUCGGGUCGUAAAGCUCUGUUGUUGGGGAAGAACAAGUAACGCAGUAACUGGCGUUACCGUGACGGUACCUAACGAGAAAGCCACGGCUAACUACGUG